AUCCAGCUGACGAGUCCCAAAAACGACGAAGCGUGCGUCCUCGAU
Molecule: non-coding RNA, 45 nt
Organism: Schistosoma haematobium
Lineage: Eukaryota; Metazoa; Platyhelminthes; Trematoda; Strigeidida; Schistosomatidae
Source: Rfam